AAGUGAAACGCCGUAGCGCCGAUGGUAGUGUGGGGUCUCCCCAUGCGAGAGUAGGGAACUGCCAGGCAUCAAAUAGAAUGAAAGGCUCAGUCGAAAGGCUGGGCCUUUUGUUUUAUCUGUAGUCUGUCGGUGAGCACUCGUUGCGCAGCAACGGCUCGUAGGGGGGCGGGCAGGACGCCCGCCAUAAACUGCCAGGCAUCAGACAAGUGAAGAAGCCCGUCCGUCAGGACGGGCUUUUUUGCGUGUGUGGUAACAUUUAAAAAUGCAGGCCUGAUAAGCGCAGCGCCAUCAGGCAACCUGCACCGCCGGAUGGCAGCUUCGCCUUAUCCGGCCUACGGCAUCGACAUAAUGCCUGUGUAUACCGCCUUAUUCCGUCGACAUAACCGCAAGCCUUCCCUAC
Molecule: ribosomal RNA, 400 nt
Filed under: Salmonella enterica subsp. enterica serovar Infantis
Lineage: Bacteria; Pseudomonadati; Pseudomonadota; Gammaproteobacteria; Enterobacterales; Enterobacteriaceae
Source: RNAcentral